This 73-nucleotide transfer RNA is filed under the name Gammaproteobacteria bacterium. RNAcentral's name for it is "tRNA-Lys". It matches the Rfam family "tRNA". From Rfam's summary of the family: Transfer RNA (tRNA) molecules are approximately 80 nucleotides in length. Their secondary structure includes four short double-helical elements and three loops (D, anti-codon, and T loops). Lineage: Bacteria; Pseudomonadati; Pseudomonadota; Gammaproteobacteria. The record is from RNAcentral. RNAcentral also lists the same sequence under 2 other names.
GGGCCUGUAGCUCAGUUGGCAGAGCAGGGGACUUUUAAUCCCAAGGUCGUGGGUUCGAUUCCCACCGGGCCCA